This is a long non-coding RNA of Alligator mississippiensis (American alligator), 579 nucleotides long. RefSeq lists it as uncharacterized. Lineage: Eukaryota; Metazoa; Chordata; Crocodylia; Alligatoridae. The record is from RefSeq and is a predicted model, not a curated record. The transcript has 3 exons.
AGUAAACAAUUAUCCUUUUUACUCAGUGUGUAGAUCAAAAGCUGUGAUCGUGCAUGCAUGAAAUUAUUUUGAGAUGGACUUAAAAGUAACCUGUAAAAGAUUUUUAAAAUAGGUUUUGUCCUUUCUCUCCUUUUCCCUCCUACUUCCUUGGGUUUAUAAAGAAUCCUGGCAUGCUUCCCUUUCUCACCCCGCUUAAAAAGUUUAUUUUGCUUGUUUUUGCUUUAGAAAUAUCAAGGAAUAUCAAACAUGAUCUGGUUUUUGCUUUGCUGGAAGACCUCUGAGUGCCAAGCCAUCUGAAAUUAUUGGAAGCUGUUGUAUGUUUGUUGACAGGGAGUUGUGCUAACAAAGAACCACGACCAAAAGUCCAGGGGCAAGACGCUGCCUGCCAGACCUGAUGCCCAGGAUGUGCAGCAUUCCAGGUGAUAUUUAGAAAACUUCCAUGGGUGGAACUUGGAACUCGCUGGGGGUGGCAACCAGCCCACUAAUGAAUGAAGAGUGAAGAGAAGAGUGAAAUAUGUUCAGAUUUGCAGGUUUUGGGGUUUUUUUAUUUACAUUUUGUAUAUAUUUUGUAUUGUUAAG